Molecule: ribosomal RNA, 253 nt
Filed under: uncultured bacterium
Lineage: Bacteria
Description: partial 16S ribosomal RNA
Rfam family: Bacterial small subunit ribosomal RNA
Source: RNAcentral
UACGUAGGGGGCAAGCGUUGUCCGGAAUCAUUGGGCGUAAAGCGCGUGUAGGCGGAUGAGCAAGUCUGCUGUGAAAGCUCCUGGCUUAACCGGGAGUGGUCGGUGGAAACUGCUCGUCUGGAGGACGGUAGAGGUAGGUAGAAUUCCCGGUGUAGUGGUGAAAUGCGUAGAGAUCGGGAGGAAUACCUGUGGCGAAGGCGGCCUACUGGGCCGGACCUGACGCUGAGACGCGAAGGCGUGGGGAGCGAACGGG